GCAUAUCAAUAAGCGGAGGAAAAGAAACCAACAGGGAUUGCCCCAGUAACGGCGAGUGAAAGCGGCAACAGCUCAAAUUUGAAAUCUGGCUCCCUCGGGGCCCGAGUUGUAAUUUGCAGAGGGUGCUUUGGCGUCGGCGGCGGUCUAAGUUCCUUGGAACAGGACAUCGCAGAGGGUGAGAAUCCCGUAUGUGGUCGCAUGCCUUCGCCGUGUAAAGCCCCUUCGACGAGUCGAGUUGUUUGGGAAUGCAGCUCUAAAUGGGAGGUAAAUUUCUUCUAAAGCUAAAUACCGGCCAGAGACCGAUAGCGCACAAGUAGAGUGAUCGAAAGAUGAAAAGCACUUUGGAAAGAGAGUCAAACAGCACGUGAAAUUGUUGAAAGGGAAGCGCUUGCAGCCAGACUUGCCUGUAGUUGCUCACCCGGGCUCCUGCCCGGGGCACUCUUCUGCAGGCAGGCCAGCAUCAGUUUGGGCGGUCGGAUAAAGGCCUCUGACACGUACUUCCUCUCGGGGAUGACAUAUAGGGGAGGCGCAAUGCGACCAGCCCGGACUGAGGUCCGCGCAUCUGCUAGGAUGCUGGCGUAAUGGCUGUAAGCGGCCCGUCUUGAAACACGGACCAAGGAGUCUAACAUCUAUGCGAGUGUUUGGGUGUCAAGCCCGGGCGCGCAAUGAAAGUGAACGGAGGUGGGAACCCCUCGGGGCGCACCAUCGACCGAUCCUGAUGUCUUCGGAUGGAUUUGAGUAAGAGCAUAGCUGUUGGGACCCGAAAGAUGGUGAACUAUGCUUGAAUAGGGUGAAGCCAGAGGAAACUCUGGUGGAGGCUCGCAGCGGUUCUGACGUGCAAAUCGAUCGUCAAAUUUGGGCAUAGGGGCGAAAGACUAAUCGAACUAUCUAGUAGCUGG
This 899-nucleotide ribosomal RNA is filed under the name Flavomyces fulophazii. RNAcentral describes it as "eukaryotic LSU rRNA". It matches the Rfam family "Eukaryotic large subunit ribosomal RNA", at positions 38 to 954 of the family's 3401-position model. Lineage: Eukaryota; Fungi; Ascomycota; Dothideomycetes; Pleosporales; Periconiaceae. The record is from RNAcentral.